GACGAACGCUGGCGGCGUGCUUAACACAUGCAAGUCGAACGGAAAGGCCCUGCUUUUGUGGGGUGCUCGAGUGGCGAACGGGUGAGUAACACGUGAGUAACCUGCCCUUGACUUUGGGAUAACUUCAGGAAACUGGGGCUAAUACCGGAUAGGAGCUCCUGCUGCAUGGUGGGGGUUGGAAAGUUUCGGCGGUUGGGGAUGGACUCGCGGCUUAUCAGCUUGUUGGUGGGGUAGUGGCUUACAAAGGCUUUGACGGGUAGCCGGCCUGAGAGGGUGACCGGCCACAUUGGGACUGGGAUACGGCCCAGACGCCUACGGGAGGCAGCAGUGGGGAAUAUUGCACAAUGGGCGGAAGCCUGAUGCAGCAACGCCGCGUGCGGGAUGACGGCCUUCGGGUUGUAAACCGCUUUCGCCUGUGACGAAGCGUGAGUGACGGUAAUGGGUAAAGAAGCACCGGCUAACUACGU
Molecule: ribosomal RNA, 467 nt
Filed under: uncultured bacterium
Lineage: Bacteria
Description: partial 16S ribosomal RNA
Rfam family: Bacterial small subunit ribosomal RNA
Source: RNAcentral